Cephus cinctus (wheat stem sawfly) is the source of this 1038-nucleotide long non-coding RNA. RefSeq lists it as uncharacterized. The transcript is spliced from 4 exons. NCBI's taxonomy places the organism in Eukaryota, Metazoa, Arthropoda, Insecta, Hymenoptera, Cephidae. The record is from RefSeq and is a predicted model, not a curated record.
GCCGCUCGGCUAAACUCGGCUCUUUUCGUCAACAACCUCUUUGUUACAUCACCCACCGAUCUUAUGUACCACAUAGGCCGUGGCUAUGUACUAGGCUUCACAUAUUUUCUUGUCUAUAUAUAUAUUCCAUAUUACAUACGUAUAUAGAUGGCCCGAGGCGGACCGUCCCAACUCCAUGUUUCACGAGGUAGUCAGCGCCGCGACGGCAUACACUGCAAUUACCAGGUGUCCGAUUUAUCGGUGCAAAAUUUUCGGUACCAACGUAAAUCAUUAUGGGCGUUCCGAUCCAACGAUCCUGAUUUAUUCAACGGGCGCUCUGUUUUGCCAUCCGAGGUAGCCGAUGAUCCUGUCUUCUCAGUGCCGUCUUCGUAGCAUACCUGCUUCAGUCUCUCGGCACGCUUAAUGUAAUCGUUGACACGUAACCUUAGAGCUUUUUUCCUCUGGGGAUCAGGUUCAUCUAUGCGAAAUAUACAGAACUGAUUGGCCAAGCGUUUUUCAAUAUGGCGACUAGUGCUGCCACCACAAGAAGAAAAUGUAUCCAGCUUCACGGCACGUUGAACAAGGGCUACAGCCUUGUCGUAGUUGUCCUGGGUGGGUGCGUGGACCAGGUCCAGAAAGUCAUGAGAGAAAAAUUCUUCGAAGGUUAUCCUCUCGUUAGGAUUGUGCUUAAGAAGCGACAUCAGCAGAGCCUUACAUUCACUUGAUACAUGGCAACCUUUUGGUAACUGCUUUGACCGGAAAUGGUUAGAAAUGUGGAAAAGUUCCUGAAAGCUGCUGCUGGAAUAUGGAGCUUUGCCGAAGAGACAUUCGUACAUGAUGACGCCGACGCUCCAGAGAUCGACGCGGGCGUCGUACUUAUGUUGGAGCAACAUUUCCGGCGCCAUGUAAAGCGGCGAGCCACGAAUUGUGAAUUUUUUUUCUUGUGAGGAGAGAUACUGAGCGAAACCAAAAUCUGAAAUUGACAGUGGCCAUGUUGUAUUUCUUUGCUAUCAUGGGUUUUUUAGGUUUGGGAAAAUCGAAUUAGACGGUAUUUUGAAA